RNAcentral lists this ribosomal RNA (174 nucleotides) under uncultured bacterium. RNAcentral's name for it is "partial 16S ribosomal RNA". It matches the Rfam family "Bacterial small subunit ribosomal RNA", at positions 345 to 509 of the family's 1533-position model. The record is from RNAcentral.
AGGCGAGCAGUAGGGAAUUUUCGUCAAUGGGGGCAACCCUGAACGAGCAAUGCCGCGUGAGCGAAGAAGGUCUUCGGAUUGUAAAGCUCUGUUGCCGGGGGAAAAAGGAAGGAAAGAGGAAAUGCUUUUCUUUGGAUGGUACCCCGGCCAGAAAGUCACGGCUAACUACGUGCC